RNAcentral lists this ribosomal RNA (2787 nucleotides) under Escherichia coli. Its description in RNAcentral is "bacterial LSU rRNA". It matches the Rfam family "Bacterial large subunit ribosomal RNA". The record is from RNAcentral. Lineage: Bacteria; Pseudomonadati; Pseudomonadota; Gammaproteobacteria; Enterobacterales; Enterobacteriaceae.
AGCGUACACGGUGGAUGCCCUGGCAGUCAGAGGCGAUGAAGGACGUGCUAAUCUGCGAUAAGCGUCGGUAAGGUGAUAUGAACCGUUAUAACCGGCGAUUUCCGAAUGGGGAAACCCAGUGUGUUUCGACACACUAUCAUUAACUGAAUCCAUAGGUUAAUGAGGCGAACCGGGGGAACUGAAACAUCUAAGUACCCCGAGGAAAAGAAAUCAACCGAGAUUCCCCCAGUAGCGGCGAGCGAACGGGGAGCAGCCCAGAGCCUGAAUCAGUGUGUGUGUUAGUGGAAGCGUCUGGAAAGGCGCGCGAUACAGGGUGACAGCCCCGUACACAAAAAUGCACAUGCUGUGAGCUCGAUGAGUAGGGCGGGACACGUGGUAUCCUGUCUGAAUAUGGGGGGACCAUCCUCCAAGGCUAAAUACUCCUGACUGACCGAUAGUGAACCAGUACCGUGAGGGAAAGGCGAAAAGAACCCCGGCGAGGGGAGUGAAAAAGAACCUGAAACCGUGUACGUACAAGCAGUGGGAGCACGCUUAGGCGUGUGACUGCGUACCUUUUGUAUAAUGGGUCAGCGACUUAUAUUCUGUAGCAAGGUUAACCGAAUAGGGGAGCCGAAGGGAAACCGAGUCUUAACUGGGCGUUAAGUUGCAGGGUAUAGACCCGAAACCCGGUGAUCUAGCCAUGGGCAGGUUGAAGGUUGGGUAACACUAACUGGAGGACCGAACCGACUAAUGUUGAAAAAUUAGCGGAUGACUUGUGGCUGGGGGUGAAAGGCCAAUCAAACCGGGAGAUAGCUGGUUCUCCCCGAAAGCUAUUUAGGUAGCGCCUCGUGAAUUCAUCUCCGGGGGUAGAGCACUGUUUCGGCAAGGGGGUCAUCCCGACUUACCAACCCGAUGCAAACUGCGAAUACCGGAGAAUGUUAUCACGGGAGACACACGGCGGGUGCUAACGUCCGUCGUGAAGAGGGAAACAACCCAGACCGCCAGCUAAGGUCCCAAAGUCAUGGUUAAGUGGGAAACGAUGUGGGAAGGCCCAGACAGCCAGGAUGUUGGCUUAGAAGCAGCCAUCAUUUAAAGAAAGCGUAAUAGCUCACUGGUCGAGUCGGCCUGCGCGGAAGAUGUAACGGGGCUAAACCAUGCACCGAAGCUGCGGCAGCGACGCUUAUGCGUUGUUGGGUAGGGGAGCGUUCUGUAAGCCUGUGAAGGUGUGCUGUGAGGCAUGCUGGAGGUAUCAGAAGUGCGAAUGCUGACAUAAGUAACGAUAAAGCGGGUGAAAAGCCCGCUCGCCGGAAGACCAAGGGUUCCUGUCCAACGUUAAUCGGGGCAGGGUGAGUCGACCCCUAAGGCGAGGCCGAAAGGCGUAGUCGAUGGGAAACAGGUUAAUAUUCCUGUACUUGGUGUUACUGCGAAGGGGGGACGGAGAAGGCUAUGUUGGCCGGGCGACGGUUGUCCCGGUUUAAGCGUGUAGGCUGGUUUUCCAGGCAAAUCCGGAAAAUCAAGGCUGAGGCGUGAUGACGAGGCACUACGGUGCUGAAGCAACAAAUGCCCUGCUUCCAGGAAAAGCCUCUAAGCAUCAGGUAACAUCAAAUCGUACCCCAAACCGACACAGGUGGUCAGGUAGAGAAUACCAAGGCGCUUGAGAGAACUCGGGUGAAGGAACUAGGCAAAAUGGUGCCGUAACUUCGGGAGAAGGCACGCUGAUAUGUAGGUGAAGCGACUUGCUCGUGGAGCUGAAAUCAGUCGAAGAUACCAGCUGGCUGCAACUGUUUAUUAAAAACACAGCACUGUGCAAACACGAAAGUGGACGUAUACGGUGUGACGCCUGCCCGGUGCCGGAAGGUUAAUUGAUGGGGUUAGCGCAAGCGAAGCUCUUGAUCGAAGCCCCGGUAAACGGCGGCCGUAACUAUAACGGUCCUAAGGUAGCGAAAUUCCUUGUCGGGUAAGUUCCGACCUGCACGAAUGGCGUAAUGAUGGCCAGGCUGUCUCCACCCGAGACUCAGUGAAAUUGAACUCGCUGUGAAGAUGCAGUGUACCCGCGGCAAGACGGAAAGACCCCGUGAACCUUUACUAUAGCUUGACACUGAACAUUGAGCCUUGAUGUGUAGGAUAGGUGGGAGGCUUUGAAGUGUGGACGCCAGUCUGCAUGGAGCCGACCUUGAAAUACCACCCUUUAAUGUUUGAUGUUCUAACGUUGACCCGUAAUCCGGGUUGCGGACAGUGUCUGGUGGGUAGUUUGACUGGGGCGGUCUCCUCCUAAAGAGUAACGGAGGAGCACGAAGGUUGGCUAAUCCUGGUCGGACAUCAGGAGGUUAGUGCAAUGGCAUAAGCCAGCUUGACUGCGAGCGUGACGGCGCGAGCAGGUGCGAAAGCAGGUCAUAGUGAUCCGGUGGUUCUGAAUGGAAGGGCCAUCGCUCAACGGAUAAAAGGUACUCCGGGGAUAACAGGCUGAUACCGCCCAAGAGUUCAUAUCGACGGCGGUGUUUGGCACCUCGAUGUCGGCUCAUCACAUCCUGGGGCUGAAGUAGGUCCCAAGGGUAUGGCUGUUCGCCAUUUAAAGUGGUACGCGAGCUGGGUUUAGAACGUCGUGAGACAGUUCGGUCCCUAUCUGCCGUGGGCGCUGGAGAACUGAGGGGGGCUGCUCCUAGUACGAGAGGACCGGAGUGGACGCAUCACUGGUGUUCGGGUUGUCAUGCCAAUGGCACUGCCCGGUAGCUAAAUGCGGAAGAGAUAAGUGCUGAAAGCAUCUAAGCACGAAACUUGCCCCGAGAUGAGUUCUCCCUGACUCCUUGA